UGGGGAAUUUUGGACAAUGGGGGAAACCCUGAUCCAGCCAUCCCGCGUGUGCGAUGAAGGCCUUCGGGUUGUAAAGCACUUUUGGCAGGAAAGAAACGUCAUGGGUUAAUACCCCGUGAAACUGACGGUACCUGCAGAAUAAGCACCGGCUAACUACGUGCCAGCAGCCGCGGUAAUACGUAGGGUGCAAGCGUUAAUCGGAAUUACUGGGCGUAAAGCGUGCGCAGGCUGUUCGGAAAGAAAGAUGUGAAAUCCCAGAGCUCAACUUUGGAACUGCAUUUUUAACUACCGGGCUAGAGUGUGUCAGAGGGAGGUGGAAUUCCGCGUGUAGCAGUGAAAUGCGUAGAUAUGCGGAGGAACACCGAUGGCGAAGGCAGCCUCCUGGGAUAACACUGACGCUCAUGCACGAAAGCGUGGGGAGCAAACAGG
RNAcentral lists this ribosomal RNA (429 nucleotides) under Acidobacteriota bacterium. RNAcentral describes it as "Acidobacteria bacterium partial 16S ribosomal RNA". It matches the Rfam family "Bacterial small subunit ribosomal RNA", at positions 355 to 776 of the family's 1533-position model. Lineage: Bacteria; Pseudomonadati; Acidobacteriota. The record is from RNAcentral.